AAGGGGGACGGCUUGGAUUUUUGGAGGUUUGCUGGUCUUCCACCGAACGGAGGUCGGCUCUUCUGAAUUUGCAUAGGGGUUGGGGCGAUGUCGCCCCCGAGGGCUUUUGGUGUGAUAACGAUCCGUUCGAACGCCAAGGUCGGGGCGACGCAUCCCNGCCAUCAUGUGGGCUUUGUUGGAAUCUCUGACCUCAAAUCAGGUAGGACUACCCGCCGAACUUAAGCAUAUCAAUAAGCGGAGGAAAAGAAACUAACGAGGAUUCCCUCAGUAACUGCGAGUGAAGUGGGAAGAGCUCAAAUUUAAAAUCUGGUGGUCUUUGACCGUCCGAGUUGUAACCUAGAGAAGUGUCAUCCGCACCGGACCGUGCCCAAGUCUCCUGGAACGGAGCGUCACAGAGGGUGAGAAUCCCGUCUCCGACACGGACCACCGGGGCUUUCGCGAUGCGCUCUCGAAGAGUCGAGUUGUUUGGGAAUGCAGCUCCAAACGGGUGGUAAAUUCCAUCUAAAGCUAAACAUUGGCGAGAGACCGAUAGCGAACAAGUACCGUGAGGGAAAGAUGAAAAGAACUUUGAAAAGAGAGUUAAACAGUACGUGAAAUUGUUGAAAGGGAAACGCUUGGAGUCAGUCGCGUCGGCCAGGAAUCAACCUUGCCCUUUUUUGGGGGUUUGAUGCAUUUUUUGGUCGACGGGUCAGCAUCGAUUUCGACCGGCGGACAAAGGUCAAGGGAAAGUGGCAUCUUCGGAUGUGUUAUAGCCCUCGAUCGCAUGCGUUGGUCGGGAUCGAGGAACUCGGUGCGCCCUCUUGGGUUGGGCCUUCUCGGGCCACAAUCGCGCUUAGGAUGUUGGCGUAAUGGCUUCAAUCGACCCGUCUUGAAACACGGACCAAGGAGUCCACCGUGCGUGCGAGUGUUCGGGUGGAAAACCCGUGCGCGCAAUGAAAGUGAAGAUCGGGAUCUCCUCCGUCCGUCGGGGCGGUGGGGGGAGCACCGAUGCCCGGACCUGAACUUUUGUGACGGCUCCGCGGUCGAGCAUGCAUGUUGGGACCCGAAAGAUGGUGAACUAUGCCUGAAUAGGGUGAAGCCAGAGGAAACUCUGGUG
Molecule: ribosomal RNA, 1096 nt
Filed under: Agaricales sp. TH9131
Lineage: Eukaryota; Fungi; Basidiomycota; Agaricomycetes; Agaricales
Description: eukaryotic LSU rRNA
Rfam family: Eukaryotic large subunit ribosomal RNA (bases 186-1096)
Source: RNAcentral